RNAcentral lists this transfer RNA (85 nucleotides) under Felis catus (domestic cat). It matches the Rfam family "tRNA". Rfam says of the family: Transfer RNA (tRNA) molecules are approximately 80 nucleotides in length. Their secondary structure includes four short double-helical elements and three loops (D, anti-codon, and T loops). Further hydrogen bonds mediate the characteristic L-shaped molecular structure. tRNAs have two regions of fundamental functional importance: the anti-codon, which is responsible for specific mRNA codon recognition, and the 3' end, to which the tRNAs corresponding amino acid is attached (by aminoacyl-tRNA synthetases). tRNAs cope with the degeneracy of the genetic code in two manners: having more than one tRNA (with a specific anti-codon) for a particular amino acid; and 'wobble' base-pairing, i.e. permitting non-standard base-pairing at the 3rd anti-codon position. Lineage: Eukaryota; Metazoa; Chordata; Mammalia; Carnivora; Felidae. The record is from Rfam by way of RNAcentral.
GCCUGGGUGGCUUAGUUGGUUAAGCGUCCGACUUCGGCUCAGGUCAUGAUCUUACAGCUCGUGGGUUCAAGCCCCGCCCCACAUU